CCCUUAGAUGUUCUGGGCCGCACGCGCGCUACACUGACGAAUGCAACGAGCUUAUAACCUUGGCCGAAAGGUCUGGGUAAUCUCCAAAUUUCGUCGUGAUGGGGAUAGAUUAUUGCAAUUAUUAAUCUUCAACGAGGAAUGCCUAGUAAGCGCAAGUCAUCAGCUUGCGUUGAUUACGUCCCUGCCCUUUGAACACACCGCCCGUCGCUCCUACCGAUUGAAUGGUCCGGUGAAGCGUUCGGACCGUGGCCUUUGGACGGUUCGCCGUCUGUUGGCUGCGGGAAGUUCGUUAAACCUUAUCAUUUAGAGGAAGGAGAAGUCGUAACA
This 327-nucleotide ribosomal RNA is filed under the name uncultured eukaryote. RNAcentral's name for it is "partial 18S ribosomal RNA". It matches the Rfam family "Eukaryotic small subunit ribosomal RNA", at positions 1470 to 1796 of the family's 1831-position model. The record is from RNAcentral.